Molecule: small nucleolar RNA, 84 nt
Filed under: Oryza sativa Indica Group (long-grained rice)
Lineage: Eukaryota; Viridiplantae; Streptophyta; Magnoliopsida; Poales; Poaceae
Also listed under: 1 other name
Description: Small nucleolar RNA R12
Source: RNAcentral
UCAUAUUUGGAAAUUCAAUGGGAAUCCGUCUGAUUUUCUUCAUCACCCAGAUCAUGAGCAUUUCACCACAAAAGAAAUAUAUGA